RNAcentral lists this transfer-messenger RNA (436 nucleotides) under Rickettsiales bacterium TMED211. It matches the Rfam family "Alphaproteobacteria transfer-messenger RNA". From Rfam's summary of the family: Bacterial tmRNA, also known as 10Sa RNA or SsrA, is named for its dual tRNA and mRNA-like properties. Its role is to liberate the mRNA from a stalled ribosome. The record is from RNAcentral. Lineage: Bacteria; Pseudomonadati; Pseudomonadota; Alphaproteobacteria; Rickettsiales. RNAcentral also lists the same sequence under 1 other name.
GACUUGACAAGUUAGUGUCUGUUAUGGUAUAAAUAUAGAUACAAUUUGUUGAUGCAAGUUGAGAGCUGAUCUGGACGGGGGUGCAAAUCCCCCCAGCUCCACCACAAAUACAUUGGAGAAUAAAAUGGAUUGGAUUACAGCAGACCUUAUAGAUGCAAUAAAUGAAACAUCUUGGUUUGAUGGUAUUGGAACAAUACUUAUUUUACUUGCCACUUAUGCAGCUUAUAAGUGGAUUAAGAAAAAUAUCUAGUGUGUUUGUGAUGGGGCUGAAUAGGUUCGACAGGCAGAGGUAGAUGAGUGGAGAAUUGUCGGGUGAUUCCGUUAUCGGUCAAAACUAUAAAUGCAAACGAAGAUAACUUUGCACUUGAGGAUUAUGCGCUAGCCGCAUAGUUGCUCGGGGUUUUGGUGAGUUCCUAUCAACAGAAUACUCACCACU